AUGUCAUGGUGAGGGCAUUUGCGCAACAACUCCUUAAAUCGCUUCCAUGCCUCAUAUAAAUAUUCUUCAUCAAGUUUCUGAAAUGAAGUAAUCUCAUUGUCUAGCUU
Small nucleolar RNA from Humulus lupulus (European hop), 107 nucleotides. The record is from RefSeq and is a predicted model, not a curated record. Lineage: Eukaryota; Viridiplantae; Streptophyta; Magnoliopsida; Rosales; Cannabaceae.